CCCUAUGGGGUGCAGCAGGCGGAAUAAUAAGUCAGUGGUGAAAUCCUACGGCUCAACUGUAGAACUGCCAUUGAUACUGUUAUUCUUGAGUUUAGUUGAAGUGGGCGGAAUGUGUCAUGUAGCGGUGAAAUGCUUAGAUAUGACACAGAACACCGAUCGCGAAGGCAGCUCACUAAGCUAAAACUGACGCUCAUGCACGAAAGCGUGGGGAUCAAACA
Molecule: ribosomal RNA, 218 nt
Filed under: uncultured prokaryote
Description: partial 16S ribosomal RNA
Rfam family: Bacterial small subunit ribosomal RNA
Source: RNAcentral